AGGCCAAUAUCAUAGCCCAAGCUUGCAAGGUGGCAUUCUUCACAGGCUUCGAGAAGUGCAAGUCCAUUAUCCAGGUGCACAUUCCUCCUGACUUCAUCAAGCAUCUUCAAAUCGAUUGUCUGGAUGAGGAUUUACAGGUAGUAUCGUCAGAUAACUGACCGAGAUUUAUAAUGACAUUUCAUUUUUUGGAUGAGGUGGAUAAGAUCGACGCAGCCAUCCAGACCGAGGGCAUCGUCAGUGC
Molecule: long non-coding RNA, 241 nt
Filed under: Elaeis guineensis (African oil palm)
Lineage: Eukaryota; Viridiplantae; Streptophyta; Magnoliopsida; Arecales; Arecaceae
Description: long non-coding RNA (EGUI_LNC025935)
Source: RNAcentral